Molecule: non-coding RNA, 579 nt
Organism: Schizosaccharomyces pombe (fission yeast)
Lineage: Eukaryota; Fungi; Ascomycota; Schizosaccharomycetes; Schizosaccharomycetales; Schizosaccharomycetaceae
Source: the annotation of a GenBank genome assembly
AAAUUCAAAAACUCGUCAUUUGUUAAAUCCACUUGCGUUCUGGAUAUUGACUUCAAACUUUGCAAGCUAACCAAAUGUUUAAAGCAGUAAGACAACUCCGGCAAUUCUGUCCUUUUUUUGCGACAGUAUUCAAUCAAAUCAUUUAUUCCUUUCUGUUGAUCACGAAUCGAAGAAACUUUAUCAGCAGAUGCAUAAAGCGGAAUUGAGGAAGGAAACAACUUGUUAGAUAGCAGGUCGGCGAAUCGACUAAGUUCAUGCCCGAUCGAUUGAAAUGAAGCAGUGGGAGAUAUACUUGAGUGCUUCUGUAUAACUAUGGCAUAGAUUUGACAAAGCAUAGAGACAGCCUGCGCUCGAUUUUCGAAAUCGUGAUCAUAUCCCAGACUACUCACCUCAUUAAAUGAAGAAUUAUUAAAGGAUUCCAACGGCGAACCAUUCACACCAACUUCUGAAUAAACAUUUUUUAAGGCCAAUAAUUCAUUGGUAAAUUCGACUAGCUGUGCACGCUCACCUAACUGCAAAGAUAACAUACUGUUAAAUAAACCUACACCUUUUUGAACUUCAGGAACACUUAAAUCAUUA